AUAUCAAUAAGCGGAGGAAAAGAAACCAACAGGGAUUGCCCUAGUAACGGCGAGUGAAGCGGCAACAGCUCAAAUUUGAAAUCUGGCUUCGGCCCGAGUUGUAAUUUGUAGAGGAUGCUUUGGGCGCGGCUCUAACUGAGUUCCCUGGAACGGGACGCCACAGAGGGUGAGAGCCCCGUAUAGUUAGAUGCCUAGCCUAUGUAAAGCUCCUUCGACCGAGUCGAGUAGUUUGUGAAUGCUGCUCUUCAUGUGCAGUAAAAUUCUUCUAAUGCUAAAUAUUAGCUCAGAGGACCGAAAGCGCCCCAGCUAGAGUUGAUCGAAAGAUGAAAAGCACUUGAAGAGAGGGUUACAUAGCACGUGAAAUGUUGAAAGGGAAGCGCUUGUGACCAGACUUGCGCCGGGCAGAUCAUCCGGUGUUCUCACCGGUGCACUCUGCCCGGCUCAGGCCAGCAUCGGUUCUCGUGGGGGGAUAAAGGUCCCGGGAACGUAGCUCCUCCGGGAGUGUUAUAGCCCGGGGCGUAAUGCCCUCGUGGGGACCGAGGUUCGCGCAUCUGCAAGGAUGCUGGCGUAAUGGUCAUCAGCGA
This 584-nucleotide ribosomal RNA is filed under the name uncultured fungus. RNAcentral describes it as "eukaryotic LSU rRNA". It matches the Rfam family "Eukaryotic large subunit ribosomal RNA", at positions 40 to 647 of the family's 3401-position model. The record is from RNAcentral. Lineage: Eukaryota; Fungi.